GACGAACGCUGGCGGCGUGGAUUAGGCAUGCAAGUCGAACGGUAUCAUCCUUUCGGGGAUGAGAGAGUGGCGAACGGGUGAGUAACACGUAGGUGAUCUACCCUCAAGACGGGGACAACCCAGGGAAACUUGGGCUAAUACCGGAUGUGAGCUAUCGCGAGAUAGUUUGAAAGGUGGCUUCGGCUGCCGCUUGAGGAUGAGCCUGCGUCCUAUUAGCUAGUUGGUGAGGUAACGGCUCACCGAGGCGAUGAUAGGUAGGCGGCCUUAACGGGUGGUCGCCCACACUGGGAUUGAGAUACGGCCCAGACUCCUACGGGAGGCAGCAGUCGAGAAUAGUCUACAAUGGUCGAAAGACUGAUAGUGCGACGCCGCGUGAACGAAGAAGCCCUUCGGGGUGUAAAGUUCUUUUAUAUGUGAGCAGUGACAUCUAUAUUAAUAGUAUGGGUGUAGAGAUAUUAGCAUAUGAAUAAGCAACGGCUAACUCCGUG
RNAcentral lists this ribosomal RNA (488 nucleotides) under uncultured bacterium. Its description in RNAcentral is "bacterial SSU rRNA". It matches the Rfam family "Bacterial small subunit ribosomal RNA", at positions 28 to 507 of the family's 1533-position model. The record is from RNAcentral.